GACGAACGCUGGCGGCGUGCUUAACACAUGCAAGUCGAACGGAAAGGCCCUGCUUUUGUGGGGUGCUCGAUUGGCGAACGGGUGAGUAACACGUGAGUAACCUGCCCUUGACUUUGUGAUAACUUCAGGAAACUGGGGCUAAUACCGGAUAGGAGCUCCUGCUGCAUGGUGGUGGUUGGAAAGUUUCGGCGGUUGGGGAUGGACUCGCGGCUUAUCAGCUUGUUGGUGGGGUAGUGGCUUACCAAGGCUUUGACGGGUAGCCGGCCUGGGAGGGUGACCGGCCACAUUGGGACUGAGAUACGGCCCAGACUCCUACGGGAGGCAGCAGUGGGGAAUAUUGCACAAUGGGCGGAAGCCUGAUGCAGCAACGCCGCGUGCGGGAUGACGGCCUUCGGGUUGUAAACCGCUUUCGCCUGUGACGAAGCGUGAGUGACGGUAAUGGGUAAAGAAGCACCGGCUAACUACGUG
Molecule: ribosomal RNA, 468 nt
Filed under: uncultured bacterium
Lineage: Bacteria
Description: partial 16S ribosomal RNA
Rfam family: Bacterial small subunit ribosomal RNA
Source: RNAcentral